GAAAACAAAAAAAGAGAGAGACAUGAAGGCUCAGGACUGAACAAAAUGGGGAUCCCAGUAAUUAUGAACCAAUGUGCCAGCCUCGGGGCAGAACAGGUGGCCAGGAGGCUGCUAGUUAACUUCAGAGGGGAGGAUUCUGGCAGCAGUGGGGUGUAUGUAGUUCAGGGGAAACGGAGGCACAGGACCCCAUCCUGCCCCCUCCCCAGGCUCCCAGUCCCGAGCUAUGGCUGCUAGGAACCAACUUAGGGUUUAUUUGGGGAAGUUUUAGUGUGUUCAGAGCGUCCAUGUCCUUACCUAGAUCCACCCCAGCUGUGUGGCCUGUGCCUCAGUUUCCCUUGCUGCACAGUUGCCCAGGGGUGGGCAGGUGCACACUGCAGCGGAGAAAGGGAGAAGAGGGCGAGACUACAAUAAGUGGCAGCCUCCUGCCUCCACUGCAACCAAGUCGCCCUUGCCCCCCCAGUAUGUUGCUAAUUGAACCCAGCGCUGGGGGAGGGGUGGGGAAACGGAGUGGGGAGAGAAGAGCUACAAGAGGACCCGAGUGGUGCGAGGACCCUGGUCCGUCCAGUCAGUUCGACCCACGCGUGCUAGAGUGACCCAAAUCCUUACCGGUCCCGCAUCUGAACUCCUGACCCCGCAGCGCAGUCAGCCCCUCCUCCUCCCCGCUCCAGACCUUUCUCUCUCCUCCACCCCUCCUCCCUCCUGCCUACCCCUCCUCCUCGCACCCGUUCUUUGUCCUCCUUUCCCGCCUUUCCUCAAAGCAGCCAAUCCCUUGUAAAUCAUGGGACUGUUUCUGGGACCUUGAGCUGCUUGAGCCCUGGCCCUAGGGUCCAGCGCCCCCCUCCCAGCCCUUCCGGUUUUCAAGGUUCGAGGCGACCCUGUCUGUCUGGCCUGCUGAAGACCCCAACAAUGAUCAAGGCCACUGUGCACAGAACGGACCAGCAGGGUAAGUGGUGCUUCAUGCCUUCCUGAUGCUGGAAAAUACUGAACAUGUGGGGCUCGAGAGCUGGCUCUGCCUGUAAAAGCUCCUGAAGCUCUUGCUGGCGAUCCAGGUUCUGUUCACAGCACCCACAUGGUUGUCUUUAAAGCUGGACACAUCCUGCAGGAGGCUGCUGCAAAGUUCUGCUCAGGGAGCUUCUACUCACCGGGAGCCCAACCUGUCCCUGCAGCCUGACUGAGGCCAGGGAACUCCGGCACUCUUACCUCUUCUCCUGGCCUUGGCACACCUGGCUGAGUGAUAAGAAGCUUCCAGGGAGCAAGGGAAAGCCAGUCUAGCCAGGUCCUGAGAUCAGCUAGGAACCUCACAUCCUGGGAACAGAAAUAGCCUUAGAAUUCGGUGGUAACACCAAUAGUCUAAAAAUCACAGCACCUGGGCGGCAGAGCCAAGUGGAUUGAAACCAGCCUGUUCUACAGAGUGAGUUCAAGGCCAGCCUGGGCUAAAAAAAACCAAAACAAAACAAAA
This is a long non-coding RNA of Mastomys coucha (southern multimammate mouse), 1459 nucleotides long. RefSeq lists it as uncharacterized. The record is from RefSeq and is a predicted model, not a curated record. The transcript is spliced from 3 exons. NCBI's taxonomy places the organism in Eukaryota, Metazoa, Chordata, Mammalia, Rodentia, Muridae.